This 803-nucleotide ribosomal RNA is filed under the name uncultured bacterium. Its description in RNAcentral is "bacterial SSU rRNA". It matches the Rfam family "Bacterial small subunit ribosomal RNA", at positions 47 to 867 of the family's 1533-position model. The record is from RNAcentral.
CUUAAUACAUGCAAGUCGAACGGAGAGAUUAGCAAUAGUCUUUUAGUGGCGAACGGGUGAGUAACGCGUGGGUGACCUGCCCCGAAGAUUGGGAUAACAGUUCGAAAGGGCUGCUAAUACCGGAUGAGGUCAAGGGAAUUAGAAACUUUUGACGAAAGGUGAAAAUCGCUUCGGGAGGGACCUGCGUCCCAUUAGCUGGUUGGUGAUGUAACGGCUCACCAAGGCGAUGAUGGGUAGGGGGCCUGAGAGGGUGACCGGCCACAUUGGGACUGAGACACGGGCCAGACUCCUACGGGUGGCAGCAGUGGGGGAUUUUGGGCAAUGGGCGCAAGCCUGAUGGAGCGACGCCGCGUGCGCGAUGAAGGCCUUCGGGUUGUAAAGCUCUUUUUUGGGGGACGAGGAAGGACGGUACCUCUGGAGUAAGCCACGGCUAACUACGUGCCAGCAGCCGCGGUAAUACGUAGGUGGCGAGCGUUGUUCGGAUUUACUGGGCGUAAAGGGCGUGCAGGCGGUUCUGUUAAGUCCGGGGUGAAAUCCUUCGGCUCAACUGGAGGGGGACCUUGGAUACUGGCAGGCUGGAGUGCGGGAGAGGGAAGCGGAAUUCCACGUGUAACGGUGAAAUGUAUAGAUAUGUGGAGGAACACCGGUGGCGAAGGCGGCUUCCUGGACCGUAACUGACGCUGAGGCGCGAAAGCUGGGGGAGCGAACAGGAUUAGAUACUCUGGUAGUCCCAGCCGUAAACUAUGAACACUAGGUGUGGGGGGUAUCGACCCCUUCCGUGCCGCAGCUAACGCAAUAAGUGU